RNAcentral lists this long non-coding RNA (280 nucleotides) under Ananas comosus (pineapple). RNAcentral's name for it is "long non-coding RNA (ACOM_LNC037589)". Lineage: Eukaryota; Viridiplantae; Streptophyta; Magnoliopsida; Poales; Bromeliaceae. The record is from RNAcentral.
AAAACAGAAGGAGGUGAAACGCUCUCACCGACUACCAGCUCGAAGCACCCACCUGUACUAGUGUCGCACCUGUCUCCCAACUGUACACGAUCGUCAACCGGACCUACGAAGGUCCACCAGGUUAGUAACCAACCCACUAACCCAAAGUACGAGACGCACAAACCCCCACACAAGUCCCCUGAUCGGUUUUUCCAAAACCGAUCACCGUAACUCACCGACAGUCCCGAAAAACACACCGGGACGCCGUCAGGACCCACUAAGUGUCCCGAAACUCACCGAC